UUUUUUUUUUUUUCUUUUUUUGCCUGCCCCAUGGCAUAUGGAGUUCCCAAGCCAGGGAUCCAAGCAGCUGUGACCCAAGCCACAGCUGUGGCAACAGGGAUCCUUAAACCAGUAGGCUGGGCCAGGGAUUGAACUCACAUCCCAGUGCUUCCAAGAUACCCAUUACACCAUAGCAGGAACUCUAAUAUUUGUCAUUAUUAAAUAUGCGUGUACCCUCUGACCUAGAGACCUGUUUCUAGUUAUCUUUCUUUUUUUAAAUUAAAAUAUAGUUGAUUUACAAUGUUUCUUCAAUACCUAGGACUCUUUCUUACAAAAAUUCUUAUUCAUACACAUAAACAUAAGGAUAGUUACUGAAGAAAUGUUUAUAACAGAAAAAUUUAGGAAAUGGCUUAAUAUCCAUCAUUAGGGAUAUAGUUAAAUUGAUUAUGAUAUAGCUAUAUUAUAAAUAUGUGUUUAUAUAUAUUACACAGCUAUUAAUAUGAAUGAGAUUAAAUGAAUAGAAUUAAAUUUAUCUUUUAAAAAAAUUUUUUUUUUUUGGCUAUACCCAUGGCAUAUGGAAGUUCCUGAGCCAGGGAUCAAAUCCAAGCUGCAGCUGUGACCUGUGCCACAGCUACAGCAAUGCCAGAUCUUUAACCCACUGUGCCACAGCAAGAACUCCUUGCAUUUUUUAAUUAAAAAAAUAUGGGGCAUUUCUGUUGUGGCUCAGCAGUAACAAACCCAACUAGUAUCCAUAAGGAUGAGGGUUCAAUUCCUGGCCUCGCUCAGUGGGUUAAGGAUCCAGUGUUGCCUUUUGCUGUGUUAUAGGCCAGCAGAUCCCAUGUUGCUGUGGCUGUGGUGUAGGCUGGCAGCUGCAACUCUGAUUCAACCCCUAGUCUGGGAAGUUCCAUAUGCUGCAGGUGCAGCCCUAGGAAGAAAAAAAAGGGGGGGGGGUAAACUACAGACAUUGAUAUUUAAAAGUCCUCCCAAGAAAAGGGAACCCUCCUACACUGUGGGAAUGUAAAUUGGUGCAGCCACUAUGAACAUAUAGAGGUUCCUUAAAAAACUAAAAAUAGAGCUGCCACAUGAUUCACCAAUCCUACUCCUGCGUAUAUAUCCAGAGAAAACCACAAUUCAAAAUGAUACAUGCACCGCAAUGUUCAUAGCAAUACAAUAGUCAAGACAUGGAAACAACCGAAAUGUCCCUCAACAGAGGAAUAGAUUAAGAAGAUGUGGGUCAUAUAUGCAAUAGCAUAUUGCUCAGCCAUAAAAAAGAAUGAAAUAAUGCCACGUGCAGCAACGUGGACAGACCUAGAGAUUAUCAUACUAAGCAAAGUACGUCAGAACGAGAAAGACAAAUACCAUAUAUCACUUAUAUGUGGAAUCUAAAAUAUGACCUAAAUGAACUUAUAUACAAAACAGAAACAGACUCAUAGAUAUAGAGAACAGACUUGUGGUUGCCAAGGAGGAGGGAAGGGCAGGGGAGGGAUAGACUGGGAAUUUGGGAUUAGCAGAUGCAAACUAUGACAUAUAGGAUGGAUAAACAACAAAGUCCUGGAGCUCCUGUCUUGGCUCAGCCGAAACAAAUCUGACUAGCAUCCAUGAGGACAGAGGUUCGAUCCCUAGCCUUGCUCAGUGGGUUAAGGAUCCGGCGUUGCUGUGAGCUGUGGUGUAGGCCAGCAGCUACAGCUCCGAUUCAACCCCUGGCCUGGGAACCUCCAUAUGCCGCAGGUGCGGCCCUAAAAAGCAAAAAAAGUCCUACUGUACAGCACAGGCAACUAUAUGUAAUAUCCUGAAAAAGAAAGUCUCCCAAGAUGCAGCAUAAAAUGAUCAACGUAAAUUAUAAAACAGUAGGUGUAGGAUGGUCAUUUAUGUAAUUAUGAAAGAGCUAUAUACACAUAUGUACAUAUAUACAAAGAAGGAUGCACACAAAACAGUAACCUCUGGGGAGGGGACAUCACACUUAGAUCUGUGUCAUCAUGGCUGGUCAGACUCUUACAGUAAGAAUGUAUUCAUGUAUUACCUCUUCUGGCUGCACCUGCAGCAUGCAGAAGUUCCUGGGCCCAGGAUCGAACCCAGGCCAGAGUAGUGACAAUGCCAAAUCCUUAAUUGCCAGGCCACCAGGGAACUCCCCAAGACCAAAAUAUUUUAAAAUACCACUUCUUAGAUUAGAAUAUAUGCUAUUAUAAAACAUUCAAAUAAUGCAAAAAAAGUGUAAUUUAAGAAAAUAGAUCACCAGAGAUGGACUCACUUACUUUCUUCUAUUCAUAUAUGUGUGUCUAUAGACAUAUAGAUAUACAUACAUCACUAUAUGUAUACCUAUUACUUUAAAAUGAAAUUGAGGAGUUCCCAGUGUGGUGCAGUGACUUAAGGAUCCAGCAUUGUCUCUGCAGUGACUUAGGUUGCAGCUACAGCUUCUUUUCAGUCCCUAGCCCAGGAAAUUCUACAGGCUGCAGGUGUGACCAAAAACAUUAAAAAAAUAAAAUGAGAUCAUGUCAUGUAAAUAAUUUAUAUCCUCUUGAUCUCUUCAUUUAAUAUUUUAUCAUGACCAUGUCAUAUGAUUAGAAUCUGAAAACAGAUUUUUUAAACCAUGAAAUAAUUCAAGCAUACAAAAAGCAUAGAAACUCACAUAGUGAACACCUGUGGACCCACCACCCAGCUGAAGAAACAAACAUUACAGGAGUUCCGUUGUGGCUCAGCAGGUUAAGGAUGCAGCACUGUCACUACAGUGGCCCGGGUGGCUGCUGUGGUGCAGGUUCAAUGCCUGGCUUGGGAAUUUCCACAUGCCACAGGUGAGGCCAAAAAAACAAAACAAAAGCAAACAUUACAGAUUAAUAAACUCCACUUGGACACUCCUCAACCCCAUUUUCCCUCUUCUUUCUCCAGAAGUAACACCUCAAUUUGAAUUUGGCAUUUGUCACUUUCACACAGGUUUUGGUCCUUUUAUAUAAAUGUAUGUAUGGAAAAAUAUAUAGUAUUUCUUUGCUGAAAACAGGCUUUUAAUACCUACUUCAUAUCCUAUAGUUUAGGUGUGCUAUAAUUAUAUACUUUGUCCCUUAUUAUUGAGCAUUUUUACAUUUCUUUUUAUGUAAGGUUGAAAUACAUUGCUACAAAAAAAGAUGCAGACUCCAUAGUGGAAAGACUCUAUUCUAUUCACAAACUCCAAAGCCAACUCCAUGUUUCUUGUGUCUUCUUUACUUGGCUCUGUUUUCAGAGAACUUAUUUGCAAACGCAUUAUGAAAAGCAGAGCCAAAGAAGCAGUGAGUGAGAGGUGAGCUCUUCCCAGUCCUGAGCACGAGUCCUGUUCAGUGUUCUUCUUCCUUGGGACUCCAUCAAACUUGCACUAGUUGUCACACUGGGCUGGUAGGUUUCUCUUUCCAAAUUCAACUCUUUCUCCUUUAUAAUGUGAUCAUUCUAUACCUACGGUUCUAAUCUAGCCAUAAUCGCUCUUUCUCUCCAGGCUUAAGUUUCUUCAAAUAAGUCAAACAUCUGUCAUCUGAAUUGACAUUUCAUCAAAAUGACAGUCACUUCUUGGAAGUCAUUAGUCAGUAUAUCAAUCACUGGGAAGUAGGACACAAUAAAAAUACUCACCUUUGAAUAAACAUGCUAUAAUUUAUAUGUUCUCAUGAAGAAGGAAUAACUUAUCCCAGGCAUUGCUGAAAAUGUCUUUGAAAGUCUUCCUUUGGAAUUGCCUUCAGAAACUGAAUUUCCUACAUAGUGACCAAAUUUUUCCUUGGACAGUAGGUUCUAUUUACAAAAGUACCUCAUGGGAGUCUGGAUCCAGAGCUGAGGUAAAGGAGCUGAGUAGCAGUGCUGGUACCAACAGGAGCUGGGCAUGUCUGGUCUUGAGGUGACAACAAUAUGGCCACACGGGCUGUAGAUGACCAGUGUCCAGACCGAUUGGUCAGUGCUUGUGCCAUCUCAGUUAUGAAAAUCAUUUGAGGAGUUCCCGUUGUGGCUCAGCAGUUAACAAACCCGACUAGUAUAUAUGAGGAUGUGAGUUCGAUCCCUGGCCUCACUCAGUGGGUUAAGUAAGGAUCCAGCGUGGCUAAGACCUGUGGUGUAGGUCACAGACACAGCUCGGAUCUGGUGGUGUUGUGGCUGUGGUGCAGGUCAGCAGCUGUAGCUCUGAUUAGUCCGCUAGCCUGAGAACUUCCAAAUGCCACAGCAUAGCCCUAAAAAGAAAAAAUAAAAUAAAAUUCACUUUUGGGAGUUCCCUGGUAACCUAGUAGUUAAGGAUUGUCACUGCUGUGGCACAGCUUUGAUCCCUGGCCCAGGGAACCUCCAUAUGUUCCAUAACCUCCAAAACAUAUGCCAAAAAAAAAAAAUUGCAUUUGUUUUGUAAAAUACAUUCUUCUGCUAAUAACCAACACAAAUCCUCAUGAUUCGGUGUUCAAAAGCAAUGCGGAUAGGCCAAUUUCUGUAUUACAACACACCCAGAUGUAGUACUGACACAUAAUUUCCUUUAGUUUACACAGGAUAUUGCCGUGUUGGAUUGGCUACAGCAGCUUGGUGUGGCAAACUGGGCUAUACCAGACGCUCGGCUGUGUCUUCCUGGUGGGUCCGAGGAGCAUCGUGUUUCCUGUCAAGCAUGUGAGUAUUGGAGUUCCUUAAACUUAUAAAGUGACAGUUAUAGUUUGAUUUACACGUAUUGCACUAUAGUUUGCAUUAUAGUUAUUUGCAUGCAUUGCGUUAUAACUGCAUUAUAGUUUGAUUUACAUGUAUUGGGAAAUGAUGACCACAAUAAAUUCAGCCAACAUCAAUCUUCUUAUAUAGAUACAGUAGAAAGGUUUUUUUAAAAGCAUUGUCGAUAUCAUUCUUCCAAGAAUGGCCUAAACAUGCUCAGUAUAAGGAAUUUUACCUUUCACAGUGGGAACAGCAGGCAUCUCUCUUUCCUAAGAGUGUUCCUUUAAUUCUUAGCUCUGUAGGGUUCCAAGAACUGUCAGGACAAUGUCAGAAACUGGUCCUUUGUUACCAACUCUCUUCCCUUUAUGGUUUUUGAUCCUCCCCCACCCCCUCCUGUGACCUAUCAUGUGACUUUGCAGUCCCCCACCUAGCUGGCAGUGAAGUCCAUUUCCUACGUGGUGGAUGUUGGGCUUGGCCCUCUGACUCAGUUUUGCCAAUGGCAUGUUAGUGGAUGUGAUACAAGCAAAGACUUGAAAUAUUCAUCUGGGCUAGCCCUUUGGCAACUUGCACUUUUGUCAUGACCAUGAGAUAAACAUGUCCCAGCCAGCCUGCUGGUCCAAGAAAUGUGAAAGAGACCUGGAUCCAACCUUUAGAUCGGGUUUGGAGUUAAACCAGGUCAAGUGCAGGCUAUACCAAGCAACCUGAAGACAUGUUAGUGACAACACCAUUGCCACUUACACUACUGAGUUUUGGAGGGGUUUGUUACACAGCAAAAGUUAAGUGAUAAACUUCUAACCCUCCACUUCUGGUGAACUAUAGAUAAAGAUUUUUUUUAAAAAAAAAAAUCCACAAAUAGGGAUUUUGUGGCUGUGGUUAUGAACCCAACUAGUAUCCAUGAAGAUGCAGGUUCAACCCCUGGCCUUGCUCAGUGAGUUAAGGAUCUGGCAUUCCCGUGAGCUGUGGGGUAGUUUGCAGACUUGGAUCCCGCGUUGCUGUGGCUGUGGCUGUGGUGUAGGCCAGCAGCUACAGCUCCAGUUCAACUCCUAGCCUAAGAACUUUCACAUGCCACGGGUGCUGCCCUAUAAAGACAAAACACACACACACACACACACACACACACACACACACAAAUAGAUGAAUAGAUAUAUAUGAAGUAAUGUAUAAAUUUACAUAAAUAGCAUAGAAAUACAUAUGACCAAAUUUCUGGAGGAGAACUUAAUUCAGUAGGGUUUUUUUUCCCUUCCUCAAAAUUUCCAAGUAACUUAUAUGUCAAAAUGGCUUUAAUAAAUACAAGAAAAAACAUAAAACAAAAAUUCAAACCUUGGAGUUCCCAUUGUGGUGCAGCAGAUACGAAUCCAACUAGGAACCAUGAAGUUGCAGGUUCGAUCCCUGGCCUCGCUCAGUGGGUCAGGGAUCCGGCAUUGCCAUGAGCUAUGGUGUAGGUCACAGACACGGCUUUGAUCCAGCAUUGCUAUAGCUGUGGUGUAGCUCUGAUUGGACCCCUAGCCUGGGAACCUCCAUAUGCCGUGGGUGCAGCCCUAAAAAUACAAAAGACCAAAAAAAUAAAAAUAAAAAAA
This 6179-nucleotide long non-coding RNA is filed under the name Sus scrofa (pig). RNAcentral describes it as "lncRNA (ENSSSCG00015054630.1)". The record is from RNAcentral. Lineage: Eukaryota; Metazoa; Chordata; Mammalia; Artiodactyla; Suidae.